GAUGAAGAACGCAGCGAAAUGCGAUAAGUAGUGUGAAUUGCAGAAUUCAGUGAAUCAUCGAAUCUUUGAACGCACAUUGCGCCCGCCAGUAUUCUGGCGGGCAUGCCUGUUCGAGCGUCAUUACAACCCUCAGGCCCCCGGGCCUGGCGUUGGGGAUCGGCGGAGCCCCCCGUGGGCACACGCCGUCCCCCAAAUGCAGUGGCGGUCCCGCCGCAGCUUCCAUCGCGUAGUAGCUAACACCUCGCGACUGGAGAGCGGCGCGGCCACGCCGUAAAACACCCAACUCUUCUGAAGUUGACCUCGAAUCAGGUAGGAAUACCCGCUGAACUUAAGCAUAUCAAUAAGCGGAGG
Molecule: unclassified non-coding RNA, 351 nt
Filed under: soil metagenome
Description: partial contains 5.8S ribosomal RNA, internal transcribed spacer 2, and large subunit ribosomal RNA
Rfam family: 5.8S ribosomal RNA (bases 1-120)
Source: RNAcentral